RNAcentral lists this unclassified non-coding RNA (381 nucleotides) under Psychotria sp. b84. RNAcentral describes it as "partial external transcribed spacer". Lineage: Eukaryota; Viridiplantae; Streptophyta; Magnoliopsida; Gentianales; Rubiaceae. The record is from RNAcentral.
GAUCAACCAGGUAGCAUUCCUCGGAGACAAUUGAGCCGCAAGAUGUAAAACAUCUAUGAGACAUCAAACGUCAAUCGAACGGGGCACGUAAUGCCUAUUUAUGGGUAAAUAGAGGGUUAUUCGACCCCUACCCGCAGCGUUUUCUGAAUCCCCGACGUCAAGCUACGCUCGUGGGCCGAUACCGCAUGGCAUAUGCAGUUCGGAACACAAAGUUCGCUUUAAGGUUUGCCCGAUUCCGCACCGUGUAAACGGGCGGCGGUGGGAAAACUUUGGAUAGAUUGCCCAACAAAUUCCGUCAAUGUAGGUAUACAGCACAGGAAACCGGCGACUUGGCCAAGGCAAACGAGGCGCUUGUGCCAAUAAGUGAAGAGGAACGCACGA